AAGUACUCUGACAAGCAAAAACAUGUUCUGACUGGAUCCAAGAAUUAGUUAAAAGUGUUGAAAAAAUACAAAAUCAAAUAGGAGCAAAACAAAAUGCCAUACGCCGAGUACCGGCCCAGCAGUGGAAACAUGGUUCGAUGCCAGGCAUGGCACCGAUCUUGUCAUUGUAAAUACUAGCAAUCACAUUUAUCAUCCGAUUUCGGUGGGUGGAUUAGAAGGCGGACGGAAAAUGUCAUGAACCCGGCGGGCUAUGCCGGAAAAUGGAGGGCAAGUAACCGGUGAGCGAUCGUGGAAGCAAUCCUCCUUGCAGAAGAGAAUGAAACGUCAAGUAAUAAAA
This is a long non-coding RNA of Culex quinquefasciatus (southern house mosquito), 337 nucleotides long. RefSeq lists it as uncharacterized. The transcript has 3 exons. The record is from RefSeq and is a predicted model, not a curated record. Lineage: Eukaryota; Metazoa; Arthropoda; Insecta; Diptera; Culicidae.